GACGAACGCGGGCGGCGUGCCUAAUACAUGCAAGUCGAACGCACGAAGUUGAAGAGCUUGCUCUUUAACCAAGUGAGUGGCGGACGGGUGAGUAACACGUGGGUAACCUGCCCAUUAGAGGGGGAUAACAUUCGGAAACGGAUGCUAAUACCGCAUAGUUUCAGGAAUCGCAUGAUUCUUGAAGGAAAGGUGGCUUCGGCUACCACUAAUGGAUGGACCCGCGGCGUAUUAGCUAGUUGGUGAGGUAAUGGCUCACCAAGGCAAUGAUACGUAGCCGACCUGAGAGGGUGAUCGGCCACACUGGGACUGAGACACGGCCCAGACUCCUACGGGAGGCAGCAGUAGGGAGUCUUCCGCAAUGGACGAAAGUCUGACGGAGCAACGCCGCGUGAGUGAAGAAGGUUUUCGGAUCGUAAAACUCUGUUGUUAAAGAAGAACAAGGAUGAGAGUAACUGCUCAUCCCCUGACGGUAUUUAACCAGAAAGCCACGGCUAACUACGUGCCAGCAGCCGCGGUAAUACGUAGGUGGCAAGCGUUGUCCGGAUUUAUUGGGCGUAAAGCGAGCGCAGGCGGUUCUUUAAGUCUGAUGUGAAAGCCCCCGGCUCAACCGGGGAGGGUCAUUGGAAACUGGAGAACUUGAGUGCAGAAGAGGAGAGUGGAAUUCCACGUGUAGCGGUGAAAUGCGUAGAUAUGUGGAGGAACACCAGUGGCGAAGGCGACUCUCUGGUCUGUAACUGACGCUGAGGCUCGAAAGCGUGGGGAGCAAACAGG
RNAcentral lists this ribosomal RNA (771 nucleotides) under uncultured Vagococcus sp. Its description in RNAcentral is "bacterial SSU rRNA". It matches the Rfam family "Bacterial small subunit ribosomal RNA", at positions 28 to 776 of the family's 1533-position model. The record is from RNAcentral. Lineage: Bacteria; Bacillati; Bacillota; Bacilli; Lactobacillales; Enterococcaceae.